UUAAGCGACUAAGCGUACACGGUGGAUGCCCUGGCAGUCAGAGGCGAUGAAGGACGUGCUAAUCUGCGAUAAGCGUCGGUAAGGUGAUAUGAACCGUUAUAACCGGCGAUUUCCGAAUGGGGAAACCCAGUGUGUUUCGACACACUAUCAUUAACUGAAUCCAUAGGUUAAUGAGGCGAACCGGGGGAACUGAAACAUCUAAGUACCCCGAGGAAAAGAAAUCAACCGAGAUUCCCCCAGUAGCGGCGAGCGAACGGGGAGCAGCCCAGAGCCUGAAUCAGUGUGUGUGUUAGUGGAAGCGUCUGGAAAGGCGCGCGAUACAGGGUGACAGCCCCGUACACAAAAAUGCACAUGCUGUGAGCUCGAUGAGUAGGGCGGGACACGUGGUAUCCUGUCUGAAUAUGGGGGGACCAUCCUCCAAGGCUAAAUACUCCUGACUGACCGAUAGUGAACCAGUACCGUGAGGGAAAGGCGAAAAGAACCCCGGCGAGGGGAGUGAAAAAGAACCUGAAACCGUGUACGUACAAGCAGUGGGAGCACGCUUCGGCGUGUGACUGCGUACCUUUUGUAUAAUGGGUCAGCGACUUAUAUUCUGUAGCAAGGUUAACCGAAUAGGGGAGCCGAAGGGAAACCGAGUCUUAACUGGGCGUUAAGUUGCAGGGUAUAGACCCGAAACCCGGUGAUCUAGCCAUGGGCAGGUUGAAGGUUGGGUAACACUAACUGGAGGACCGAACCGACUAAUGUUGAAAAAUUAGCGGAUGACUUGUGGCUGGGGGUGAAAGGCCAAUCAAACCGGGAGAUAGCUGGUUCUCCCCGAAAGCUAUUUAGGUAGCGCCUCGUGAAUUCAUCUCCGGGGGUAGAGCACUGUUUCGGCAAGGGGGUCAUCCCGACUUACCAACCCGAUGCAAACUGCGAAUACCGGAGAAUGUUAUCACGGGAGACACACGGCGGGUGCUAACGUCCGUCGUGAAGAGGGAAACAACCCAGACCGCCAGCUAAGGUCCCAAAGUCAUGGUUAAGUGGGAAACGAUGUGGGAAGGCCCAGACAGCCAGGAUGUUGGCUUAGAAGCAGCCAUCAUUUAAAGAAAGCGUAAUAGCUCACUGGUCGAGUCGGCCUGCGCGGAAGAUGUAACGGGGCUAAACCAUGCACCGAAGCUGCGGCAGCGACGCUGAUGCGUUGUUGGGUAGGGGAGCGUUCUGUAAGCCUGCGAAGGUGUGCUGUGAGGCAUGCUGGAGGUAUCAGAAGUGCGAAUGCUGACAUAAGUAACGAUAAAGCGGGUGAAAAGCCCGCUCGCCGGAAGACCAAGGGUUCCUGUCCAACGUUAAUCGGGGCAGGGUGAGUCGACCCCUAAGGCGAGGCCGAAAGGCGUAGUCGAUGGGAAACAGGUUAAUAUUCCUGUACUUGGUGUUACUGCGAAGGGGGGACGGAGAAGGCUAUGUUGGCCGGGCGACGGUUGUCCCGGUUUAAGCGUGUAGGCUGGUUUUCCAGGCAAAUCCGGAAAAUCAAGGCUGAGGCGUGAUGACGAGGCACUACGGUGCUGAAGCAACAAAUGCCCUGCUUCCAGGAAAAGCCUCUAAGCAUCAGGUAACAUCAAAUCGUACCCCAAACCGACACAGGUGGUCAGGUAGAGAAUACCAAGGCGCUUGAGAGAACUCGGGUGAAGGAACUAGGCAAAAUGGUGCCGUAACUUCGGGAGAAGGCACGCUGAUAUGUAGGUGAAGUCCCUCGCGGAUGGAGCUGAAAUCAGUCGAAGAUACCAGCUGGCUGCAACUGUUUAUUAAAAACACAGCACUGUGCAAACACGAAAGUGGACGUAUACGGUGUGACGCCUGCCCGGUGCCGGAAGGUUAAUUGAUGGGGUUAGCCGCAAGGCGAAGCUCUUGAUCGAAGCCCCGGUAAACGGCGGCCGUAACUAUAACGGUCCUAAGGUAGCGAAAUUCCUUGUCGGGUAAGUUCCGACCUGCACGAAUGGCGUAAUGAUGGCCAGGCUGUCUCCACCCGAGACUCAGUGAAAUUGAACUCGCUGUGAAGAUGCAGUGUACCCGCGGCAAGACGGAAAGACCCCGUGAACCUUUACUAUAGCUUGACACUGAAUAUUGAGCCUUGAUGUGUAGGAUAGGUGGGAGGCUUAGAAGUGUGGACGCCAGUCUGCAUGGAGCCGACCUUGAAAUACCACCCUUUAAUGUUUGAUGUUCUAACGUUGACCCGUAAUCCGGGUUGCGGACAGUGUCUGGUGGGUAGUUUGACUGGGGCGGUCUCCUCCUAAAGAGUAACGGAGGAGCACGAAGGUUGGCUAAUCCUGGUCGGACAUCAGGAGGUUAGUGCAAUGGCAUAAGCCAGCUUGACUGCGAGCGUGACGGCGCGAGCAGGUGCGAAAGCAGGUCAUAGUGAUCCGGUGGUUCUGAAUGGAAGGGCCAUCGCUCAACGGAUAAAAGGUACUCCGGGGAUAACAGGCUGAUACCGCCCAAGAGUUCAUAUCGACGGCGGUGUUUGGCACCUCGAUGUCGGCUCAUCACAUCCUGGGGCUGAAGUAGGUCCCAAGGGUAUGGCUGUUCGCCAUUUAAAGUGGUACGCGAGCUGGGUUUAGAACGUCGUGAGACAGUUCGGUCCCUAUCUGCCGUGGGCGCUGGAGAACUGAGGGGGGCUGCUCCUAGUACGAGAGGACCGGAGUGGACGCAUCACUGGUGUUCGGGUUGUCAUGCCAAUGGCACUGCCCGGUAGCUAAAUGCGGAAGAGAUAAGUGCUGAAAGCAUCUAAGCACGAAACUUGCCCCGAGAUGAGUUCUCCCUGACUCCUUGAGAGUCCUGAAGGAACGUUGAAGACGACGACGUUGAUAGGCCGGGUGUGUAAGCGCAGCGAUGCGUUGAGCUAACCGGUACUAAUGAACCGUGAGGCUUAACCUU
RNAcentral lists this ribosomal RNA (2904 nucleotides) under Escherichia coli. RNAcentral's name for it is "bacterial LSU rRNA". It matches the Rfam family "Bacterial large subunit ribosomal RNA". Lineage: Bacteria; Pseudomonadati; Pseudomonadota; Gammaproteobacteria; Enterobacterales; Enterobacteriaceae. The record is from RNAcentral.